Long non-coding RNA from Dermochelys coriacea (leatherback sea turtle), 483 nucleotides. RefSeq lists it as uncharacterized. The transcript is spliced from 2 exons. The record is from RefSeq and is a predicted model, not a curated record. NCBI's taxonomy places the organism in Eukaryota, Metazoa, Chordata, Testudines, Dermochelyidae.
GGAGGGGAAGGAGGCAGGCUGCCAACUCCCGAGGUGGGACAGCCUGCACUCCAGGAUCUGGAAGCCAGCUAAGCUGGGACAUGCCCCGACCCUCAGACGGAGUAUGUCGGAGAAGGGGAACAAACCAGAGGACCCCCGUGAAAUGGAGGACCCGGAGGUUAUGAUCAGUGGUCUCCAAACUUUUUGGCUCGCACACCCCCAGGGUGAAAACCAGAAGACCUGCCACAGACGCGCCGUCGAUGGAACAGGGCUGGAAGACCUGCUGCAGGCAGGCUGCCAGAGUGGAACACCAGCCAUGGACGUACAGAGUGGCCGCUGAAGAUAAAAAAAGGUGGAGUGCCAUCUGGCGGCACUCCUGCUGCCGCGCACCCCUUAGGAUCAUCUUGUGCGCCCCCUGCGGAGCACGCACCCCAGUUUGGAGACCACUGUUCUAGAUAAUUCAGAGGUGUUCCUAUUUUAUAUUAAAGAUUUUUAUGGACAAGA